Molecule: ribosomal RNA, 492 nt
Filed under: uncultured bacterium
Lineage: Bacteria
Description: partial 16S ribosomal RNA
Rfam family: Bacterial small subunit ribosomal RNA
Source: RNAcentral
AGUGAACGCUGGCGGUAGGCCUAACACAUGCGAGUCGAACGGCAGCACAGUAAGAGCCUGCUCUUACGGGUGGCGAGUGGCGGACGGGUGAGGAAUACAUCGGAAUCUACUUUUUCGUGGGGGAUAACGUAGGGAAACUUACGCUAAUACCGCAUACGACCUACGGGUGAAAGCAGGGGAUCUUCGGACCUUGCGCGAUUGAAUGAGCCGAUGUCGGAUUAGCUAGUUGGCGGGGUAAAGGCCCACCAAGGCGACGAUCCGUAGCUGGUCUGAGAGGAUGAUCAGCCACACUGGAACUGAGACACGGUCCAGACUCCUACGGGAGGCAGCAGUGGGGAAUAUUGGACAAUGGGCGCAAGCCUGAUCCAGCCAUACCGCGUGGGUGAAGAAGGCCUUCGGGUUGUAAAGCCCUUUUGUUGGGAAAGAAAAGCAGCAGGUUAAUACCCCGCUGUUCUGACGGUACCCAAAGAAUAAGCACCGGCUAACUUCGUG